CCUACGGGUGGCAGCAGUGAGGAAUAUUGGUCAAUGGACGAGAGUCUGAACCAGCCAAGUAGCGUGAAGGAUGACUGCCCUAUGGGUUGUAAACUUCUUUUAUAAAGGAAUAAAACGAGGCACGUGUGCCUUUUUGCAUGUACUUUAUGAAUAAGGAUCGGCUAACUCCGUGCCAGCAGCCGCGGUAAUACGGAGGAUCCGAGCGUUAUCCGGAUUUAUUGGGUUUAAAGGGAGCGUAGAUGGGUUGUUAAGUCAGUUGUGAAAGUUUGCGGCUCAACCGUAAAAUUGCAAUUGAUACUGGCAGUCGUGAGUACAGUUGAGGUAAGCGGAAUUCGUGGUGUAGCGGUGAAAUGCUUAGAUAUCACGAAGAACCCCGAUUGCGAAGGCAGCUUACUAAACUGUGACUGACUUUGAUGCUCGAAAGUGUGGGUAUCAAACAGGAUUAGAUACCCCUGUAGUC
RNAcentral lists this ribosomal RNA (460 nucleotides) under uncultured bacterium. RNAcentral's name for it is "partial 16S ribosomal RNA". It matches the Rfam family "Bacterial small subunit ribosomal RNA", at positions 338 to 795 of the family's 1533-position model. The record is from RNAcentral.